This is a non-coding RNA of Hydra vulgaris (swiftwater hydra), 866 nucleotides long. The record is from RefSeq and is a predicted model, not a curated record. Lineage: Eukaryota; Metazoa; Cnidaria; Hydrozoa; Anthoathecata; Hydridae.
UUAGCCCUUGCAAUUUUUUUUUCUUCUCGAAUUCUUUAUUACAUGGUUUUUGUAUGUAUUUUCACACUUGAUUUUAUCCAAGUUAUGGUAACAAUUAUAUUAUUGCAUCAGAUAUUUCAUGUUUUCAAUAGUGUUAUAGUGUGCUGUUUGCUUGUUUAACUGAUUACAAUUUUAGUUAUAAAGUAUAAAGUAAAUGGUCAAUGCAAAUAAGAAUUAUGAAUGUCACUCCAGCGAUCAUUUUUGCAAUAAAAGACAAAGCGGAGGUCUUGCUUUUAUCAAGUAAAUAAUAAACUAACAGUUUAUAAAUGAGAAUGUCUUUACAUUGUGCAACAAGAAAUCAAUUGUUUUUUGUUUUUUUUAUUGAAGUUUAUUGUUUGGCUUGCUUCUUUGCUAACAUUUGUUUUAGUAGUUCGUUAAAAUAUUUGACAAAAAAGCGAUAAAUUUAUAUACUGCAGAUAUUUUAAAUAAAUGUUUUUUCUCCUUAACUUUCAAAUUAUGGAAUCAUUAGACGGGAUCGAUCUGCAAAUGUAAGUUUAAUAAAAUGUUUCAAAGUACUUUUUGUUUUAUGCUAUUUGUUUUUGGUUUGGCGCUGUCAAUAUUUCAGUUUUAGCUCUAUGUGUCUUUGGCGUGGCUCUUGGUUUUACCUCAAGCGAAGGUAACAGAUUCAAAUUCGCAUCUGUUGAUUUAAGUUUUUAAUCCUAUUGAGGUGUGAUGCUUCUUUGCUUUAAUAGUUUAUAUUUUAGCUAUAAAGUAUAAGAUAAAGACUAGCUAUAGCUAUAAAGUAUAGAUGUAAAAUAUGGAAAAGAAACAUUAAACUCACUGAUUGCCAAAAUUUGUAAGCUUCUUUUUAAUUAUAUGUAAAACGU